RNAcentral lists this small RNA (190 nucleotides) under Kitasatospora albolonga. RNAcentral describes it as "Streptomyces albolongus c-di-AMP sequence". It matches the Rfam family "c-di-AMP riboswitch aptamer (ydaO/yuaA leader)". Rfam says of the family: This family represents a conserved RNA structure found upstream of the ydaO and yuaA genes in Bacillus subtilis and related genes in other bacteria. Lineage: Bacteria; Bacillati; Actinomycetota; Actinomycetes; Kitasatosporales; Streptomycetaceae. The record is from RNAcentral.
CCGGAUGGAACGCCGAAUCCUGCCGCCGUCCGGGAAUCCGCAACCCACUCACGUACGGCAGGAGCGGGGGAACCAGGUAAGCCGCCGGUCCGGUAUCCGGAACGGCUAGGGGUGAAGUCGCAUGCCAUGCGGCCAGACAUCUCCCGUCUGAACCCGACAGCUCACCUCGUAGGCGCCGGAGAGGAAAUUC